UUCUGACCGUAAACGAUGCCAACUAGCGAUCCGCCGGUGGCUACAAGGCCCUGGUGGGGAGCUUCCCGGAAACGAAAGUCUUCCGGUUCCGGGGGAAGUAUGGUUGCAAAGCUGAAACUUAAAGGAAUUGACGGAAGGGCACCACCAGGAGUGGAGCCUGCGGCUUAAUUUGACUCAACACGGGAAAACUCACCCGGCCCGGACACCGUGAGGAUUGACAGAUUGAUAGCUUUUUCAUGAUUCGGUGGUUGGUGGUGCAUGGCCGUUCUUAGUUCGUGGAUCGAUUUGUCUGGUUUAUUCCGAUAACGAGCGAGACUCCAGCCUACUAACUAGUACGGGCAUUGCCUCUGUGCCCGGCACUUCUUAGAGGGAUUGGCUGCGUCUAGCGGCACGAAACGGAGCAAUAACAGGUCUGUGAUGCCCUUAGAUGUCCGGGGCUGCACGCGCGCUACACUGGCAAAGGCAGCGUGCUUGUCCGUCUCCGAAAGGAGCCAGUAAACCCUUGAAAAUUUGCCGUGAUUGGGAUCGGAAAUUGCAAUUAUUUUCCGUGAACGAGGAAUUCCUAGUAAGUGCGAGUCAUCAGCUCGCGUUG
RNAcentral lists this ribosomal RNA (592 nucleotides) under Mesocriconema sp. PalmLC3-01. RNAcentral describes it as "SSU rRNA". It matches the Rfam family "Eukaryotic small subunit ribosomal RNA", at positions 1024 to 1643 of the family's 1831-position model. Lineage: Eukaryota; Metazoa; Nematoda; Chromadorea; Rhabditida; Criconematidae. The record is from RNAcentral.